This 170-nucleotide long non-coding RNA is filed under the name Ailuropoda melanoleuca (giant panda). RNAcentral's name for it is "lncRNA (ENSAMEG00000024526.1)". Lineage: Eukaryota; Metazoa; Chordata; Mammalia; Carnivora; Ursidae. The record is from RNAcentral.
UCGGUUGAGGGCUCUUCCUGAUGGCAUUGAUCCCCUGGCACUGUUGGCCUACACCGUGCGAGGGCUGAGCAUGCUUCUGCCCGCUGUGGGCCAGAGAAGUCUUGAAGCCUUCGGCUUGCCUGGGUGGCAGGUCAGGAUGAUAAUCUGAAAACUGUCAUCAUAAGAAACAG